Molecule: ribosomal RNA, 118 nt
Filed under: Rheopelopia maculipennis
Lineage: Eukaryota; Metazoa; Arthropoda; Insecta; Diptera; Chironomidae
Description: partial large subunit ribosomal RNA
Rfam family: Eukaryotic large subunit ribosomal RNA
Source: RNAcentral
GAAAAUAUACCAUGAGCAUANNGGACAUGACCCGAAAGAUGGUGAACUAUNCNUGAUCAGGUUGAAGUCAGGGGAAACCCUGAUGGAGGACCGAAGCAAUUCUGACGUGCAAAUCGAU